CGGGCGCGGUGGCAUGUGCCUGUAGUCCCAGCUACUCAGGAGACUGAGGUGGGAGGAUUGCUUGAGCCCAGGAGUUCUGGGCUGUAGUGUGCUAUGUGGAUUGGGUGUCCACGCUAAGUUCAGCAUCAAUAUGGUAGACCUCCAGGGAGUGGGGGACCACCAGGUUACCUACAGAGGGGUGAACCAGCCCAGGUCAGAAACGGAGCAGGUCAAAAUUCCCGUGCUGAUCAGUAGUGGGAUCACACCUGUGAAUAGCCACUGCACUGCAGCCUGGGCCUGGGCAACAUAGCGAGACCUAGUCUCUU
This is an unclassified non-coding RNA of Callithrix jacchus (white-tufted-ear marmoset), 305 nucleotides long. It matches the Rfam family "Metazoan signal recognition particle RNA". Rfam says of the family: The signal recognition particle (SRP) is a universally conserved ribonucleoprotein. It is involved in the co-translational targeting of proteins to membranes. The record is from Ensembl. NCBI's taxonomy places the organism in Eukaryota, Metazoa, Chordata, Mammalia, Primates, Cebidae.